GGGAUUGCCUCAGUAGCGGCGAGUGAAGCGGCAACAGCUCAGAUUUGAAAUCGUGUUUCGGCACGAGUUGUAAAUUGCAGGUUGGAGUCUUUGUGUGAAGUGCGUGUCCAAGUCCCUUGGAACAGGGCGCCAUGGAGGGUGAGAGCCCCGUUGGAUGCGCAUUGAAGCUGUAAGGCCCUUCUGACGAGUCGAGUUGUUUGGGAAU
This 205-nucleotide ribosomal RNA is filed under the name uncultured fungus. Its description in RNAcentral is "partial 26S ribosomal RNA". It matches the Rfam family "Eukaryotic large subunit ribosomal RNA", at positions 71 to 281 of the family's 3401-position model. The record is from RNAcentral. Lineage: Eukaryota; Fungi.